Molecule: long non-coding RNA, 430 nt
Filed under: Dromaius novaehollandiae (emu)
Lineage: Eukaryota; Metazoa; Chordata; Aves; Casuariiformes; Dromaiidae
Description: lncRNA (ENSDNVG00000003659.1)
Source: RNAcentral
AGAAAGAGCUUUGAAAAGGGAAGACUAUAACAGAGCUUAAGAGAAGACUGCAGAGUCUUGUGCAUGACUUUCCUUGAAUGCAGGAAUAUCUCCGACUCUUGCUCCCUUGUGGCUUCUCCCUGGAAGACAGAGGAGUAUCAAAAAGUGAAUUGAUGCUGUUCCAAGGAGACGCGGUUAUGUCUGGGACAGCAACGGAGGUAUGGACGUGGGAAGUAUACAUGUCAAACAAAUAUGUAUGCGUYAGAACACCAAAUACCAAUGGAAAUGUUGCUGUCGCUACAGAGCAAGCAUCAGUGAAUCCUGGUUUGUAUUGAUACUUGUAUAAAUAUUUUUGUUAAUGGACUUGUGUAGUUAACAGCCUGUUAAAUACCUUCUGGAGACCAUUUAUUAUGGAAGGCCAGGGACAGCUUGCAAUUUUGUCUGUGAAGUC